GAUGAAGAACGUAGCGAAAUGCGAUAAGUAAUGUGAAUUGCAGAAUUCAGUGAAUCAUCGAAUCUUUGAACGCACAUUGCGCCCGCCAGCAUUCUGGCGGGCAUGCCUGUUCCAGCGUCAUUUCAACCCUCGAGCCCCCCCGGGGGCCUCGGUGUUGGGGGACGGCACACCAGCCGCCCCCGAAAUGCAGUGGCGACCCCGCCGCAGCCUCCCCUGCGUAGUAGCACACACCUCGCACCGGAGCGCGGAGGCGGUCACGCCGUAAAACGCCCAACUUUCUUAGAGUUGACCUCGGAUCAGGUAGGAAUACCCGCUGAACUUAAGCAUAUCAAUAAGCGGAGGA
This 343-nucleotide unclassified non-coding RNA is filed under the name soil metagenome. RNAcentral describes it as "partial contains 5.8S ribosomal RNA, internal transcribed spacer 2, and large subunit ribosomal RNA". The stretch from base 1 to 120 matches the Rfam family "5.8S ribosomal RNA", at positions 35 to 154 of the family's 154-position model. The record is from RNAcentral.